Molecule: ribosomal RNA, 874 nt
Filed under: Dendryphion sp.
Lineage: Eukaryota; Fungi; Ascomycota; Dothideomycetes; Pleosporales; Torulaceae
Description: partial large subunit ribosomal RNA
Rfam family: Eukaryotic large subunit ribosomal RNA
Source: RNAcentral
UAACGGAGGAAAGAAACCAACAGGGAUUGCCUCAGUAACGGCGAGUGAAGCGGCAACAGCUCAAAUUUGAAAUCUGGCCCCUUCGGGGUCCGAGUUGUAAUUUGCAGAGGGUGCUUUUGGUGUUGGCCGUGGUCUAAGUUCCUUGGAACAGGACGUCACAGAGGGUGAGAAUCCCGUACGUGGCCGCCGGCCCUCGCCUUGUAAAGCCCCUUCGACGAGUCGAGUUGUUUGGGAAUGCAGCUCUAAAUGGGAGGUAAAUUUCUUCUAAAGCUAAAUACCCGCCAGAGACCGAUAGCGCACAAGUAGAGUGAUCGAAAGAUGAAAAGCACUUUGGAAAGAGAGUGAAAAAGCACGUGAAAUUGUUGAAAGGGAAGCGCUUGCGGCCAGACGUGCCCGCGGUUGUUCAUCUGGGCUCUCGCCCGGUGCACUCCUCCGCGGGCAGGCCAGCAUCAGUUUGGGCGGUCGGACAAAGGUCUCUAUCACGUACCACCCCUCGGGGUGGCCUUAUAGGGGAGACGCAACACGGCCAGCCUGGACUGAGGUUCCGCGCAUCUGCUAGGAUGCUGGCGUAAUGGCAGCAAGCGGCCCGUCUUGAAACACGGACCAAGGAGUCUAACAUCUAUGCGAGUGUUUGGGUGUCAAGCCCGAGCGCGUAAUGAAAGUGAACGGAGGUGGGAACCCCUCGGGGCGCACCAUCGACCGAUCCUGAUGUCUUCGGAUGGAUUUGAGUAAGAGCAUAGCUGUUGGGACCCGAAAGAUGGUGAACUAUGCCUGAAUAGGGUGAAGCCAGAGGAAACUCUGGUGGAGGCUCGCAGCGGUUCUGACGUGCAAAUCGAUCGUCAAAUUUGGGCAUAGGGGCGAAAGACUAAUCGAA